UCAACAUACUCCCCUCUGAUUCGCCCCCACUAAUGACUCGCGCCCUUUCCAAAGUCCCAGCACACCGCGCUUAUAAUCUCUUUCAGCUGUCCUUAAAAAGGUUCUAUUUGUCACCUCCGCCCCGCUCAGGGGCGCCCGGACUCUGGGGCCCGGCCUUCCCGGGCUCCCGGGUUCCUCCCAUCGCUUCCCUCACAGGCCUGGCCGCAGGGCCGGCCCAGCGGGUUUCGCACGGGAGGGAAUGUUUGGAUGGCUAACGCCCAGGGUUGGUCUCCCCUGUGUCUUUUAUGGGAACACGUUCCUGCCUGCGCCCCACGGGACAGAGCCGUUUUCCCGCCCCGCCACGCCGCGCCCGCAGGCCCCGCUGCCCGCAGCCUCUUCCCGACGCCCCAGGCCGGGCGCCCCCGCAACCGGCCCACCGCGUGCUGUGCGGGGCUUCCGCUCCUGCGCACGAAUGCUUCUGCGAGCUUUCUCGGAAGCAGCUGGGGGGCGGGGAAUCUGCUGAGGAACGGCGCUUUAUAAAUCAAAAAAUAAUAAUAACAGAGCUUACGGUGAGCACCGGAGGCUGGAAACGGGGUGGCAUCCGCUCGGGGCGGGGCGGCGUCGCCAGCGAAUGACAACACUGCCCCCUGGUGGCCGAUGCGGCCAGGCCCGAGAGAGCGCAGGCCGGGUGCGAGCCAGGCUUCUUCACCACGCGGUUUCCCCACUCAUCCCGUAGAAACCGUAACUGAGCAAAUGACAGAUUGCUACACUUAGCAGGACGUCCCCCAGGCUCAUCCAUGUUGUAGCGUGUCAGGGUUUCCCUCCCUGUUAAGAGGCCAUCCUGAUGAGUACGAGGUGGUAGAGCUGCCUGCUUUUUGAUUAAUGUGACGAUCACACCCUCUGCCUGGGAGUUUUACAGACUGGUGAUGACUUUUUGUGGCAUCUCAGGAAAGAACAUGACUUCAUGGACGUCCUUAGUCAGAAUCUACUCAGUGUAUCUACUCAGUAUAGGCUCACAUAAGCCCUCACCUCCCCAGGGAGUCACAACCUCUACUAUACUUCUUCCUUCUGCUCUGCCCCCCACAAACGGCCCUGCCAGCCCUCACCACCUAGAGGAAGAUUGGGAGCCGGUAGAGGAAAGACACCCUAAAUCCCCGAGGUCAAGCAAAGCCCUGGGGAGGCGCCGUGGGAUCCCUGCCUCGGGCCUGCCUAGACAGUAUGUGAAUGAGUAUCCCAGAGAUUCUCCCCGCUGUGACCUCGAGGGCCAGCCUGCCUGUGUGGCCGUGAGCUGCUUUCUUCCCAGAGGAACUUGCUUGCGGCAGCAGGACUCCACAGCCUCAGGGGCAGCUUGGGCCUCGGCAAAGUGGGGAGCUGCCUCAGUCCAGCAGGGGUCCAAAUCACCUCCUCAUUUAGAGGGACCAUGUCUCUAGAGAGAUGACAUGCCAAAAAUGAAAACCUCACAGGAGCUUUUUGUCCACCUGCAAGUGAGGUACAGACACGUUUGAGACGGUGGAUGGACUUUUUUUUUCUCUUUUCUCUCUUUCCAAAAUCUGGACACACCAUGGCCCAGUGAUGGAGAAGAAGUCGAGGACCUGGCAAGGAUCUUCUUUCUUAGGAGUGGCGGAGGGCUGACCAGUCUCAAUAAAGCACAGGGGGAGCCCCUGUGACCCAGCGUCUGGGUGGCAGCCUGUGGACAAUCUGCAGCUCAUCUGGAUCACGCAGCUCAGCUGAACUCACAGCCCGAGGUCCAGCACUGCCCAGGGGCUGGCAGCCGUCCUGCUUGGGUGGGGCUCUGCAGGAUGGGCAACCACACGACGGUCUCCCUGGGAGCCUGGGAAAAGGGAGGGUUCACAGAUUACAAGGGGACAAGACCCUGUUGGACAAAAAUGACCAAGUGGGAAGCUGCCUAGCUCUGACCAGGUCUGGGAACACAUUGGGAUUGGAAGUCAUCUAAAUAUAGCCUGUUUAUAGACUGCGAUCUGACUUUCUCAGGCACUGUUUGUAUGAGAGCUGGUAACUAUAGCACAAUUUUUCUAAACUGGUCAUUUUCAACACUGACUUUUUAUUUGCAUUUGAAAUGAUUUUAUUAUUGGCACCAGAGAACUAGAAUCUCAGACUAUUGCUGUGGCUGAAAGCUACGCACAGCUUUCCAUGAAAUCUUAAUUUAUCAGCCUGUUUGGGUGUUUGAACAUUUAAAGCAAGCAAGAUAAAAGAAUCUGAAGG
This is a long non-coding RNA of Gorilla gorilla gorilla (western lowland gorilla), 2202 nucleotides long. RefSeq lists it as uncharacterized. The transcript is spliced from 4 exons. NCBI's taxonomy places the organism in Eukaryota, Metazoa, Chordata, Mammalia, Primates, Hominidae. The record is from RefSeq and is a predicted model, not a curated record.